GCAGGUGGUACUCUGUACGAGUGGUGGUGAUGUGGCAAUUGGCCAUCUGUACGAGGCCACCUGUUUAUUUGUACGGAGCAGAGGCCAGCUCUGCUCGGCUGCUCACUCAGCCACUCCUGCUGAACACACCGGCACGUGCAUGGUAGCGUUUCUUCAGUUUCUUGGACAACCGGUAUGGCGGCUUGUCACCGCCUUCUUCCUCCCUCUCUGGCUCGUCACCACGUCCGCCUCCACCUUCUUCCUCCUCCCUCCGCCGUUCUUCUUCCUCCUCCCUCUCUCUUUCUUCCUCCUCGCGUCUCCGUGCACGCUCCUCCUCCUCUUUCUCUCUCCUCCGCUGCUUCUCUUGCUCCUUCCUGGCCCGCUCUUCUUCCUCUUCCCUCCUCUCUUCUUCCUCCCGUUCCCUUUCCUUCCUCUCCUUUUCCUCCCGUUCCCUUUCCUUCCUCUCCUUUUCCUCCCGUUCCCUCUCCCGCUCUUCCUCCUUUUCCUUCUCCUCCCGUUCCCUCCUCUCCUUUUCCUUCUCACGUUCUCCCGGUCCUUUCCCUUUCCCUCCCCCUUCCUCCUCCCGUCGCUUCCUCUCCUCCUCGGCCUUCUCCGCCAGCUCCUCAGCGCACGAUACGCACGGCAGUAUCGUCGACUCGCGCUGCGCGGACAGCAGCUUGUCCACGGCGGUCGGGUCCCGCUGCCCCAGCGCCAGCGCCAGCACCUUCUUCCCAAUGGCCUGCAGCACGGAGCCCUUCCCGGCCAGGAACUGCGGGUGGUUUUGCCCCAUGUGGGUGCUGAACCCGACGAACACGAACGAGUCGUCGUUGAACGACAUCUGCGCCAUCGGGUGGAACCGCGGCACCACGAAGACGUCGCCUUCCUUCACACGGAACACCGAGUUCCUGCACUGCCACCGCGCGCGGCCGCCUUCGCCUUCGCCCUCAUCGCCGCGGCCUCCCGGCCCGCCGCGCCGCUUGUGACCGUGGUGGUGGUCUCCACUGCUCCCGCCCGACGGGCUGCUGCUGCUGCUGCUGCUGCUCGGGCACACCGUCUGCACGAUUCCUGAACCCUCUGUCACGAUGGCGAUCUCCGUGGCCUUGGGGUUCCAGUGAGGCCCCAUCAUCGAACCCUGCAAAGAAACAGACAACAAACCGGUGGAUCGUCGUUGACACCAUCAUCAGCACAGUGCACAGUGCAAGAAGAACCCUUUGACGUACGUGCUGAGAGAUUAACAUGGCGAGCUGAGACUGAGAGUGAUCGCGUGCUUGAUUACCGUAGUCAGGUUCACCAUGAACAUGCCAAUGCUGGAUCCGUGCAGCGCGUCGAGGUCCUUGCUAGUCAUCAUCCGGCUCCACCCGUAGCAGUUCUGGACGUCUGGCUUUCCGGAGUAGAAGUUGAACGCCUUGCUCUUGGACUUCUUGUCCUUGUGCUUGUCCUUCUUCUUCUUCUUCUUGUUAAGGAACUCCUCCGGAUCGCGCACGCCCAGCAGAGCGUCGAUGAUGUUCUCGGUCCAGCCGGGUUUCUUGUCCCCCUUCUCCUCCUCUGGGUUGUAGGCUAUGAUCGGUGGCGGUGUCUUGGCAGACUUGAUCGCUUCUACCACCUCGGGUUUGACCUUGUGGAAGAUGCUAUCGGUUAGCUUGCUGGUCAACAGGCGUACGCAUGACGGGGCAGCCACUAUAUAUGCAACAGUACCAGCUUUCACUUACCCCAAAUCCCAGGCGAAGAACGUCUGUCUCGAACCCUUUGACCAGAUUGCUGACGCUGGAGUAAGCUUCCACCUUGGGCUUCUGCUUUGAUUAAUUUGGCACACAACAAUCACAGAAGUGUACAUGCAAUGCAUUGCAGAGGAACGGAAGGAUGAGUAGGACCGGAGGUUCAUUACCGAGGGGUCAUCGGCGUUGAUGCCUUCGCUGGUGAAGAUGGCGUAGAUCCGAAGACGCUGUCUACUGGCGUUGGGGUAGCUCUGGAUGUACAGGAUGCUCCCCUGCUCAAAGUUGUAUACGUCUCCUCGCUCCACCUCCAGGGAGCUCUGUUCGCUGCUCUCUUCUUCUAUGGAAGUCACCUUGCCCCGCCCUGUCCCUCACAAAUCACAGACUCAUGUAACUGGUGCUCAAGUGCGUAACAAAGCAAGCUUGCCACGCCACCUACCGCUGUGAACGUAGAACACCAUGUCGGCAUGCAGCUGCACGGGCAGGAACAGCGCCCCGGGGUCCAUGGUGAUGAAGUGCAGCCGGUACGCCGUGCCCGCCGCGUCGGCGACGUCCACGGCCGAGACCGAGCCGGCCUCGCUCUCCGCCACCACCCGCCGUCGCUCCUUCUCCACCACCUGGCCGCCCACCCUCCACCUCUCGUGCUUCCCGGACGCCGCGGCCGCCGAGACGACAGCCAGGAGCAGGAGCCACCGAGCAGUCGUCGCCACCGCCAUGACCCAAGCUAACUAAGGCAGCUAGAAUCUCUGCUCUGAGUUCUCCCCCCGUCCCCGCACGGGCUGCGAUCUGCGGAGUGGUGGAUCGCGCUUUG
RNAcentral lists this unclassified non-coding RNA (2502 nucleotides) under Zea mays. RNAcentral's name for it is "misc RNA Zm00001eb401010". Lineage: Eukaryota; Viridiplantae; Streptophyta; Magnoliopsida; Poales; Poaceae. The record is from RNAcentral.